UACGGGGGGGGCAAGCGUUGUUCGGAAUUACUGGGCGUAAAGGGCUCGUAGGCGGCCAACUAAGUCGGACGUGAAAUCCCCAGGCUCAACCUGGGAACUGCGUCCGAUACUGGAUGGCUUGAAUCCGGGAGAGGGAUGUGGAAUUCCAGGUGUAGCGGUGAAAUGCGUAGAUAUCUGGAGGAACACCGGUGGCGAAGGCGACAUCCUGGACCGGCAUUGACGCUGAGGCGCGAAAGCCAGGGGAGCAAACGGG
This 253-nucleotide ribosomal RNA is filed under the name uncultured bacterium. RNAcentral's name for it is "partial 16S ribosomal RNA". It matches the Rfam family "Bacterial small subunit ribosomal RNA", at positions 524 to 776 of the family's 1533-position model. The record is from RNAcentral.